Molecule: long non-coding RNA, 347 nt
Organism: Ixodes scapularis (black-legged tick)
Lineage: Eukaryota; Metazoa; Arthropoda; Arachnida; Ixodida; Ixodidae
Exons: 3
Source: RefSeq, a predicted model, not a curated record
GAUAGUGGCAAAAUGAAAGUGUGAAGUAUUUAUGCUCAAGGUCUGAAUAUUUGGUCCAGAGCAGUCUCCAAUAGUUAAGCUGGUGCUUGAGCUUCGGCUACAGAAUGGGGAGAUUUUGCGGCAGUUGGGGGCGAUGCAGCAGGACAUUAGAAACUUAAGUUUUAAUUUAUCGCAAAUGAAGGCCUCAAUGUCUGCUGCACCGCCUUCGCCGGAAAUGGCUCCAGAGCCGUCGCGGGCGCCCCUUCCAAAGCUGCCCGCGGCGACUAUGGAAGAAUUCAGGGAAUUGGAAAAUGCCCUGAAGGAUAAAGCUACAGCCACAGCCCUGCAGCUGGAGGUGGCUACAUGGG